Molecule: long non-coding RNA, 5081 nt
Filed under: Arabidopsis thaliana (thale cress)
Lineage: Eukaryota; Viridiplantae; Streptophyta; Magnoliopsida; Brassicales; Brassicaceae
Description: long non-coding RNA (ATHA_LNC000121)
Source: RNAcentral
CCCGACAAGCUUAGGCCUGCUGCAACAGUCUAGGUCAUGAGUUCUAAGCACUUCUUCAGCGGCUUCUCUCGAUGAGACCACAGUUAUAGGGACAAACCCAAAGUGAAGAAGCAUCACAGGUCCGUAUCUUUCGGCGAGAUGUUGAAGUGACCUGUGAGGCAAUUCUCCAAUCUGAUGUAAGUUCCCGAUGACCGGAAACUUGGGAGGGCUUGGAGGAAGAUUCCAUUUUGAUCGUUUGAUUUUCUUGGCAAAAAAGAUUAACGAAACGAAGGUGAUGAGAAAAACACAGAGGAAAGAGAUCGCCAUUUUUUAUUUGGUUAUCGAUAAACUGAAAAUGAUAUUGCUCUGUUUAUUUUCCAUUAAUAGUUCAACACGGCAACUCGAGAUCUAGAAGUAUCCCAUACAAGUCUCGGUUAAAAAACCAACACUUCAAUUAUUAGAAAAAGCCAAUGGUCUAGUGGUUAAGAGCAAAACAUCUCAUCAGUAUAGUAUUUAUAUUUUAAUAUUAUUUUCAUUAACUUUUAUUAAUAUAUUUAUUAACUUUUUCAUUAACAUCUUAAAUAUAAUUAUCAUUUUAUUAUGUUAUUUAGUUUUAAACAUAUCAAAUAACAAUUAAAACAAUAUUUAUUUAAUAUUUUGCAUUUACUUUAAUUAAUAUAUACUAAAAUAAUGUUAAUAUAUAAUUUAAACUUAUACAUAAUGGAGUUAAAUAUAAAGAUAAUUUUAUUUUAUGAUUUAUAAAAAAAUACAAAAGAGGAAUAUAUAAACUAUCAAAUUGGUGUAUUGGAAUAAAGGUAAUAAAAUUUAGAAUUUGUAAAAAUUAAAUAGAAACCACAUUAAAAAUACAUGAGUCGUGGAUCUAUCAAAUAAGAAACUUUACAUUGGGUUAUCACCAUUUUAAAUUAUAUAAUAUUAUUAUCAUUUUUCUUACAUAUUAUAUUGUAUAUUCAAUAUCAUUAAAAUGCGUAAUAUUUUAGUGUUAAUAAAGAUAUACUUAGAAUUGAGAGUUUUUUAUUAGUAUAUAAAGCCACUUUUUUUUAGCAAAGUCGAUUUGGGAAUAACCAAGAUUCGGGAAGAGAAAGUUGGCCAACACUAUUGAGUAUGACAACUAGGUGGGGUUGAAAAUGGAGAUAUAGAAACGUUUUUGGGAAAAUAGGGAAAUACCGUGAUAGAAUUCAGUUCGUCAAAGAUAUAGCAGCGGAGGUCAAAAAAGCUUUUAAUGUUACAAGAAGCAGCACAAACAGGGGAUGUCGGGUUGAGAGGUUGAUCGGUUGGAAAAGGCCGGGUGAAGGCUAGGUUAAGGUGUCCACGGACGGGGCUUCACAUGGAAACCCAGGACCAACCACAGCUGGAGACGUAAUGCAGGAUAUACUAAAGAUGAAAAGCUAAAAACAAUCAAACUUUAUAACUAAACUUUAUAAAACAUUUUAAACAUUUAUGAUAUUCAAUUUUUAUGAAGUUUCAAAUAUUAGAAAUAUUUAAAAUUUAUACGAAGUUUAAGUAUUACAAAUAUUUAUAAAAUAAAAUUAAUACGAGACGGUAUAUUACGAGUGAGAUCCUAGAUAUAACAAUAAAAAUAGAAUUACGAAGUUUCGGUCGAUAAUUGUAUUUUGCUUGUUAAAUCUAUGAUUUCACCUAUUGUAUAUCAUCUCGUAUUAAUAACGACUUAAACUUAUCUCACCAUAUAACCAUAUUCCCUGAAAUUAAACAUUAGUGUCAUUUUUUGUAUUAAGUUCAAAUAUUAUACUUAAACACUUCAAAUAAACAAUAGUGACAAAAUAAAUAUAACUCAAUUUUUUGUAUAAAAUAUUAUCAUGUGGUAUAUCGCAGGUUGAUUUCUAAUAGUUUCAUAUAAGUUUAGUAGUUUCAUCUAAAUGAUGCAUUUUGAGGUACAAAUAUGAAGAUUAAAACAAGACCUCUUUUAUUUUUGUUAAUGACUAAACUUCUAUUUGCAUGAUAUUUUAUAUUCGCUUGCUAAUAGUGUGAAUAGUAUCUUUGAAAUCAGUGAUUUAAUCGAUAAAACCAUUUAUCGAAAUAUAUAAAAACUGAUUUAACGAACACAUAUAUUCAAAUUGUUGACAAAAAAAAAAAAUAUUUCAAACUCUGGGAAAAAAUGUCUGACUUUCUUUUGGUAGUAUUAAACGGUAUAAAUUAUUAAUACCAUUGCCUUGGAAUGCUAUAUUUGGAUUUAAGAUAAAACUCGAAUUGACUUUUCAUAUUAAUAUUCAUAGAAAAAGUGACGUCAAAACUAUAUUAUUCUAGAAAAGGUGAUGUCAUCAAGUUGAUAUAAAAAGUGAUGUCAUCAAAUAAAUAUCUUCUGAUUUCAUAUGUAAGAUUAUAUAAUCGAUAACAUAUUAUGAUGUAUCACACUAUUAUUCUUUUUUAUGUUUGUCGCUAAACGUUUAAGUGGUUGGAUAAUGGCUAGCCGUAUAACAUGUAGGCCAUUUGGCAUGCGAUUUUGUUUCAGUUAUAUUAAAUAAAUAAUUUAAAUAAAAAAUAAAAGAGUAUGUUAGUAAAAUAGUUAUUUUUCAAAAUAUAAUUUAAAAAGUAGUUAUUUUAUUAUUUAUAAUUUUAAAAGUAGCCAUUUUUCACUAUUUGAUUUGUAUAAAAAAAUUCGUACAAUACAAUUAAUAUACAAAUCUAAAUUUACAGUAUGUAUAUUUAUGUAUAUUUAGACAUUAUAAAUAUUAUACAAAUCUAAGUGUAUGAAACAAAUAAUGAAAAUGAUUAUUUUAUCAAUUAUGAAUAGUAUAAGUUACCACUUUUCCUUCUGAAAAAAGAAACUAUUUUCAACUUUUCCAAUAAAAAAACAAACAAACGUUUAGGCCAUUCUGUCUCUGCGAAGAUAUUUGCAGAUUGGCUGGCGUAUGGAUACGAAUACGAUUGACCACAUUCAAGAUUUACUCAACAAUAUCAUGUGCAUAUUUUGUCGCAUAUUUGGAUAACUCGACGAAGUUUGGAGAAUGGUGGAGCCACAAUGAUCUCGCCCCUCACGUUUUUGCUAUCUUCUUUAUAAAUGAAAUGAAAGGCUCACAAUGAUUUUCGAUUUUCUGUUUACUCUUGUAAUACAAUUCUUUUAACAAAAACAUGAGGCAAUAAUAACCCUUAUAUUUGCUUCCUACUUACUAUUAUAUAUAUUCAUUAUUUUAAUCAAAUAAAUUCAUUUUUUUUAAUACGAUGUUAAAUUAUACUCAAAAGAAAAUAAUCACUGGAUGUUAUAAAUAAAUGUAAAAACUUUUCAUAAAAUUUACAAGAGAAUAAAUGGUUCUACCCUUGAUUUCUUCUUGUUUCAAACCAAAGUACUAUGCUACUUCGUAUUUUGAUAUGCACCCACUCUUGAGCGUGUUAAGCCGGCUUCGAAUGUUUUUGUCGAUCAUCUUGACAAGCUUUAAUGAAUUUUGAUGAAUCAGAACCGGAACAUGUAAGGUUCGUAAACGUUAAUUACAUUCCUCAAACGCAAAUGAACGUUCAAUUUAGUAUUUUACUGAAAAAUAUACUUCAUACAUCAUCAGAGAAGCUUACAUGAUUUGCAUGAUAUAUUUAUUCAAAAGGUUUGGUCCAAACCGUUUGGAGUUUGGUCUGAUCACUGAACUCGAACUGGAACGAGCUGGAGAGGUACUUUCUUGACGAUUGUAAGAGUACCAGCUUCUUCAGUAUCAAUAUCUUUAUGUGUCAUCCCAUCAGGCAACUUCCAAUCGAAGAAGUAAAGUAAGUUCAAGAGUCCCAAUUCGACGGCAGCAAUCCCCAUUGGCAUCCCGGGACAUAUCCUUCGACCGGACCCAAAUGGUAAGAGCUCGUAAUGUUGUCCCCUAUAAUCAACAGAGCUAUCCAUAAACCUCUCAGGGUCAAACUCUUCCGGGUUUGUCCAGAGUUUGGGAUCUCUUCCGAUAGCCGAAACAUUGACCAAGAUCCGCCUCUUGGGAGGAAUAUCAUACCCUUGAACUUUGAUGUGAGCCAUUGUUUCUCUUGGAAGUAUAAGAGGAGCUGCCGGGUGUAACCUGAAUGUUUCUUUGAUUACCAUCUUCAAGUAAGGAACUUUAUCGAUAUCUUCCUCGGUGAUUCUCGCCUUAUUGCUGCCAAGUUGUUCUCGGAUCUCGCCUUGAACUUUCUUUAUAAGUUUCGGGUUUUUAACGAGCUCCGUCAUUGCCCAUAUCAUGGUGAGGGCCCCUGUGUCUAUCCCUGCAAGAAAUAUAUUCUAACAACCCACAAGAAAAGUAAGUUAAAGAUUUCGAUCCAAUUACAAUUUUAAUGUGUUUAAAUAACUCUUGAUUACCGCGAGAAACCCCUUAAUAUGAUCUAUUAUGAGCUCUAAGGAACUAUCUUUUCCUUCUUUAUGAAUCGCAUCCAACAUUGAAUCGAUGAUGUCUUCGUGCUCUUUUGAUCUUCCUGGAUUUAAAUGAUCAUCUAUGACAUGUUGAAACAGAGCAUCGAGCUUGUAAAAAACAUCGUUGAGUCUCUUGUGUUGUCCGGAAAACCAAUCAACAAGCCAUCCAAGUCCGGCAACAGGGAAGAAAUCAGAACAAGUGAAACUUGCUAGGGCAGUCUCAGCUUCGAACACGAGCUCUUCGAUCUUUUCUUUAUCGAUAAAAUUGCUCUCAUGAAAAUUCUGUCCUAAGGCAACUCUGAAAAAGAUACUAGCGGUUAGCCAGAAAAGUGAUUUGCUCAAAUCGACCGGAGAGCGAUUAACCGCGGAUUCCGACAGUUGCUUGACCAGAAAGUUACAUUCUUCCUCUCGGAUAUGCCUAAAGGACUGAACCUUUUUCAAACAGAAAAGCUCACGCAGGGCAAACUUACGCCGCGCCUUCCACUCGUUACCGUAUGGCGUAAAACAGACAUCUUUAAAAUUCCGCGAGAGUAACCUUGUCCCGACAAGUUUAGGCCUGCUGCAACAGUCUAGGUCAUGAGUUCUGAGCACUUCUUCAGCUGCUUCUCUUGAUGAGACCACAGUUACAGGGACAAACCCAAAGUGAAGAAGCAUCACAGGUCCGUAUCUUUCGGCGAGAUGUUGAAGUGACCUGUGAGGCAAUUCUCCAAUCUGGUGUAAAUUUCCGAUGACCGGAAACUUUGGAGGGCUUGGAGGA